Molecule: ribosomal RNA, 405 nt
Filed under: uncultured bacterium
Lineage: Bacteria
Description: bacterial SSU rRNA
Rfam family: Bacterial small subunit ribosomal RNA
Source: RNAcentral
CAGGGAAUCUUGCGCAAUGGGCGAAAGCCUGACGCAGCGACACCGCGUGGGGGAAGAAGGCCCUUGGGUUGUAAACCCCUUUUCUCGGGGAAGAAAGAUGACGGUACCCGAGGAAUAAGGUUCGGCUAACUACGUGCCAGCAGCCGCGGUAAUACGUAGGAACCGAGCGUUGUCCGGAUUUACUGGGCGUAAAGAGCGCGUAGGCGGCCCGUCAAGUCUCAUGUGAAAUCUCCCGGCUCAACUGGGAGGGGUCAUGGGAAACUGGCAGGCUAGAGGGCAGUAGAGGAAAGCGGAAUUCCCGGAGUAGUGGUGAAAUGCGUAGAUACCGGGAGGAACACCAGUGGCGAAGGCGGCUUUCUGGGCUGCCCCUGACGCUGAGGCGCGAAAGCGUGGGGAGCGAACCGG